This 396-nucleotide ribosomal RNA is filed under the name uncultured bacterium. RNAcentral describes it as "partial 16S ribosomal RNA". It matches the Rfam family "Bacterial small subunit ribosomal RNA", at positions 523 to 918 of the family's 1533-position model. The record is from RNAcentral.
AUACGUAGGUGGCAAGCGUUGUCCGGAUUUACUGGGCGUAAAGGGCGUGUAGGCGGAGAUGCAAGUCAGGAGUGAAAUCUAUGGGCUUAACUCAUAAACUGCAUUUGAAACUGUAUCUCUUGAGUGCUGGAGAGGUAGACGGAAUUCCUUGUGUAGCGGUGAAAUGCGUAGAUAUAAGGAAGAACACCAGUGGCGAAGGCGGUCUACUGGACAGUAACUGACGCUGAGGCGCGAAAGCGUGGGGAGCAAACAGGAUUAGAUACCCUGGUAGUCCACGCUGUAAACGAUGAAUACUAGGUGUGGGGGGACUGACCCCCUCCGUGCCGCAGUUAACACAAUAAGUAUUCCACCUGGGGAGUACGGCCGCAAGGUUGAAACUCAAAUGAAUUGACGGGG